Molecule: transfer RNA, 76 nt
Filed under: Gammaproteobacteria bacterium 45_16_T64
Lineage: Bacteria; Pseudomonadati; Pseudomonadota; Gammaproteobacteria
Description: tRNA-Asn
Rfam family: tRNA
About the family: Transfer RNA (tRNA) molecules are approximately 80 nucleotides in length.
Source: RNAcentral
UCCUCGAUAGCUCAGUUGGUAGAGCAGUAGACUGUUAAUCUAUUGGUCGCAGGUUCGAGCCCUGCUCGAGGAGCCA